RNAcentral lists this long non-coding RNA (1180 nucleotides) under Gadus morhua (Atlantic cod). RNAcentral's name for it is "lncRNA (ENSGMOG00000023338.1)". Lineage: Eukaryota; Metazoa; Chordata; Actinopteri; Gadiformes; Gadidae. The record is from RNAcentral.
GUGUUUGUGUGGGCGGUGCCGUCCUAUGGAAUCUGUGGUGGAGAGCUUGUGCUGUAGGGAAGUGAGUGCGUUUUGGUCGCUGGUCGAGAAGCUCAGCCCAAGACCAGCAGAUGUGACAUGCCUCACUCAGCAUCCAGGAUUUGAUGCAUGCUGCCUGAAUCCGUUUGUGCUUAAGAUAGCGUACACACAUUUCAAGCAGGAUCAUGGUCCCCUUCAAGCCAGCACGCACGAGCAAUACCAGUACACUGCAUACAGGCAGGCUAUACGAUGGGCUUAUGGAGUUCUUGGCCUGCAUAUAAGGAAGCCUCUACCCUCCUGUCUGGUUUCAGCCAUCAGGCAACAAUUUCAGAGUGGUGACCAGACCUAUCAUGGCUUUCAAUGGCCUCGUUUGGAUGAAGAAUAAAAACCAUAUUGGCACGUACAACAUGAAUACAAUUAUUUUUCAGUUCAAGAAUUAACUCAUGCUAGUUGUGUUGCGAUCGCUCAACCGCCUUUAAAAUGUUAUAAAAUACACAGAACAUGUGAAUUCAUAUAAAAACAGUUUAUUAGGUCAUCCCAAGUAAUAGGGAUCGAUUACUGAAAAAAGGGACAGGUUGAAAGGCCUGAUAUAGUAAACAAAUCAAGAAAAAAAGGGUUAGGCACAAAGAAACCAACAUAAAAUAAUCUUGCAAUAGUGUGGUCUUACCUGAGGGUCAGUACUCACACAGCACAUUCUCUCACUCACUCACGGACACAUACAUGCAAUGAUAUCACAUAGAGCAGACGCAUAGUGAUCCAAGAGAAAAGCGCACACAGAGGUCCCUUUCGGAUUCUUACAAUUCUUACUUUUUAUGAAUUAUGGGGCAAAUGGAGCUGUAAUGGAAUGAUUUGUGCACACAACUAAGUAAAAAACCCAAGUAAUAAAAACAAAACAUGCGACAUGCAGUGAGGCGGUAACCAUGGUGAUGCUGAUAAAGGAAUGAAUGGGUUACAGCCAAAAGUAACCAAGAGAUAAUGUUAGUCGACAGAUGUUAGGGUCAGCGCAAGGGGUUAAAAUGUAAGGUUAUAAUAAACUUCCUGGAACAAUCAAAAAACCCAAGCAAUAAACAGCACACAAAGAGAAAACAAAACAUGCGGCAUACAGAAAACCACCACCAAAUAAAAUAACAUAUACUUACUAUAUACAUUUAUACAUACUCAC